AUUGAACGCUGGCGGCAUGCUUUACACAUGCAAGUCGAACGGUAACAGGCCGCAAGGUGCUGACGAGUGGCGAACGGGUGAGUAAUGCAUCGGAACGUGCCCAGUCGUGGGGGAUAACUACUCGAAGGAGUAGCUAAUACCGCAUACGAUCUAUGGAUGAAAGCGGGGGACCGUAAGGCCUCGCGCGAUUGGAGCGGCCGAUGUCGGAUUAGGUAGUUGGUGGGGUAAAGGCUCACCAAGCCAACGAUCUGUAGCUGGUCUGAGAGGACGACCAGCCACACUGGGACUGAGACACGGCCCAGACUCCUACGGGAGGCAGCAGUGGGGAAUUUUGGACAAUGGGCGCAAGCCUGAUCCAGCAAUGCCGCGUGCAGGAAGAAGGCCUUCGGGUUGUAAACUGCUUUUGUACGGAACGAAACGGCUCUGGUUAAUACCCGGGGCUAAUGACGGUACCGUAAGAAUAAGCACCGGCUAACUACGUG
This 482-nucleotide ribosomal RNA is filed under the name uncultured bacterium. RNAcentral's name for it is "partial 16S ribosomal RNA". It matches the Rfam family "Bacterial small subunit ribosomal RNA", at positions 30 to 507 of the family's 1533-position model. The record is from RNAcentral.